RNAcentral lists this long non-coding RNA (398 nucleotides) under Elaeis guineensis (African oil palm). RNAcentral describes it as "long non-coding RNA (EGUI_LNC024401)". Lineage: Eukaryota; Viridiplantae; Streptophyta; Magnoliopsida; Arecales; Arecaceae. The record is from RNAcentral.
CUCUUCCCAUCACCCAUAUCUCUCUCUCUCUCUCCCCUUCACAUGCUCUCUCUCUCUCUCUCUCGCCCAUGCCUUCUCUCUUCCUCCCUUCUUCUUCUUUUCUUUUAAUUUUUUCUACUUCUUCUCUUCUCGUGCUUGUCGUUAUCACCAUCUCCUCUUCCUCCUCAAUUCAGGUAAGCCCUAAAUCUAAUUUUUUUUCUAAUCCUUGCUGUAAAAUACUAUUUAAAAGAGGAAUUCAACCCUCCUUGAUAUUAUGCUGCCCAAUAAAGGAUGGCAUGGCCAUCUCUUGGUUCUCUAGAAGAAGAACAACUCUUCUUUCUCUUCUUUGUCUCUCUUGACAGUAACCUAGCCCUUUAUUUCUUUCCAUCAUGAGCAGAACAAGAUUCUUUCUAUAUCUA